UGUAUCUCGGGCGCGUCCGACCGAGCGCCUGCUCGCGCUCGUCCCCGUCGAACCCCUUCACCGGCGAUGGCCAGGAGGAUAAGGCCUCCACCGAGGCACCCCCCAUAGAUAUUUUCUUCCCCUGCCUCCGCCCACUUCCACAUGCCCCGGCGCUCUCCACUCACCUCGCUCUCUCCCUCCUCACUGAUUCCCCAUCUCCCGAGCGCGGCCGUCACCGACCACCAUGCUUCGUCGCGGCCACCGGCGUUACUGCGCCCGCAGCUCGUGUCCACGAGCAUAGCCUCGUUCGUCUCCGUCGACUGGAGCCGUCCAUUUGAGCCGGGCGAUGCCAUUGUGCGCAGAUCGAGCCGGUCUUGUCUUCUGCAUCACCGGCAAUCCUCGUCGACCUCGCUCUGCCACAACCACCGGCCACCUCUCGCCCCGCUGUUGCGUCCGCGAAGACCGCCGCCGUCCACUACAUCCUCUACGCCAACAAACACGAGCCGGGGAGCACAUCUGCGACCACUACGACUCCAUCUUCCUCCUUCGACCGCCGCCGAUCUCCUCCGAUCCCGGCGUCUUCUUCAUCUGCGACGAGCUCUGCAGCUCCUAAACCUCCCGCCGAGCCUCCGUGUGCUCCUAGACCUCGAGACCGCUGCUGAUGCCCCUGUGAUCGACUAUGUCGACGACGACCCUCCUUGUCUGAGCAACCAGGCAAGCCCUCCCUUUGAUCAUCCCGAUAUCGCCCAUUCUAUA
Molecule: RNA transcript, 735 nt
Organism: Triticum aestivum (bread wheat)
Lineage: Eukaryota; Viridiplantae; Streptophyta; Magnoliopsida; Poales; Poaceae
Exons: 2
Source: RefSeq, a predicted model, not a curated record